RNAcentral lists this ribosomal RNA (253 nucleotides) under uncultured bacterium. RNAcentral describes it as "partial 16S ribosomal RNA". It matches the Rfam family "Bacterial small subunit ribosomal RNA", at positions 524 to 776 of the family's 1533-position model. The record is from RNAcentral.
UACGAAGGGGGCAAGCGUUGUUCGGAAUCACUGGGCGUAAAGGGUGCGUAGGUGGUUAUGUAAGUCGGAUGUGAAAACCCCUGGCUUAACCAGGGAUCUGCAUUCGAAACUGCAUGGCUUGAGUACGGGGGAAGAGAGUGGAAUUCUCAGUGUAGCGGUGAAAUGCGUAGAUAUUGAGAAGAACACCUGUGGCGAAAGCGGCUCUCUACCUUGAUACUGACACUGAGGCACGAAAGCUAGGGUAGCAAACGGG